UCCCCCCUCUGGCGGCGUGCUUAACACAUGCAAGUCGAACGGAAAGGCCCUGCUUUUGUGGGGUGCUCGAGUGGCGAACGGGUGAGUAACACGUGAGUAACCUGCCCUUGACUUUGGGAUAACUUCAGGAAACUGGGGCUAAUACCGGAUAGGAGCUCCUGCUGCAUGGUGGGGGUUGGAAAGUUUCGGCGGUUGGGGAUGGACUCGCGGCUUAUCAGCUUGUUGGUGGGGUAGUGGCUUACCAAGGCUUUGACGGGUAGCCGGCCUGAGAGGGUGACCGGCCACAUUGGGACUGAGAUACGGCCCAGACUCCUACGGGAGGCAGCAGUGGGGAAUAUUGCACAAUGGGAGGAAGCCUGAUGCAGCAACGCCGCGUGCGGGAUGAAGGCCUUCGGGUUGUAAACCGCUUUCGCCUGUGACGAAGCGUGAGUGACGGUAAUGGGUAAAGAAGCACCGGCUAACUACGUG
This 468-nucleotide ribosomal RNA is filed under the name uncultured bacterium. RNAcentral describes it as "partial 16S ribosomal RNA". It matches the Rfam family "Bacterial small subunit ribosomal RNA", at positions 36 to 507 of the family's 1533-position model. The record is from RNAcentral.